CAUUUCUUAUAAAUAUUAUUAUGAGUAACACCUGCUCAAUGAACUUUUUAAUAGCCGCAGAAUUUUUACUGUGCUAAGGUAGCAUAGUCAUUAGCCCCUUAAUUAGGGGCUCGCAUGAAAGGUGAAACAUUUCAUUUACUUUAUUAAUUAAUAUUUUUUAAAUUAAAUUAAGAAUAAAAAUGUUCUUAUAAUUAUAAAAGACGACAAGACCCUUUUGAACUUAACUCUAGUUUAGCUGGGGCAGCUAAGAAAAAAUAAUUUUUCUUUUCUUUUUUCAAUUAAUAAUCCAAUAAAAUUGAAUAAUUGAACAAGUUACCAUAGGGAUAACAGCGUAAUACCCCUUUAAAGUUCUUAUUCAAAGGGAAGAUUGCGACCUCGAUGUUGAAUUAAUGUAGCUUGCACGGUGCAACAACUUUAAAAGUGGGUCUGUUCGACCCUUAAUACAUUAC
This 449-nucleotide ribosomal RNA is filed under the name Wagneriana neglecta. Its description in RNAcentral is "partial large subunit ribosomal RNA". It matches the Rfam family "Bacterial large subunit ribosomal RNA", at positions 1827 to 2599 of the family's 2925-position model. The record is from RNAcentral. Lineage: Eukaryota; Metazoa; Arthropoda; Arachnida; Araneae; Araneidae.